GGGGAACUUUGCCGGCUGCAAAGACAUGCAAGUCGAGCGGGACUUACUUAGCUUGCUUUGUAAGUCGAGUGGCGAACGGGUGAGUAACACGUGAGCAACCUGCCCGGAAGAGGGGGAUAGCUCGGGGAAACUCGAAUUAAUACCGCAUGUGAUCCUGUGUAGCAUUACACGGCGAUUAAAGGUGCCUUCGGGUGCCACUUCCGGAUGGGCUCGCGGCCUAUCAGUUAGUUGGUGAGGUAACGGCUCACCAAGGCAAUGACGGGUAGCUGGUCUGAGAGGAUGAUCAGUCACACUGGAACUGAGACACGGUCCAGACACCUACGGGUGGCAGCAGUCGAGAAUCAUUCGCAAUGGGGGAAACCCUGACGGUGCGACGCCGCGUGGAGGAUGAAGGUCUUCGGAUUGUAAACUCCUGUCAUCGAAGAGUAAGGCUGCUAUGUGAAUAGCAUAGCAGAUUGAUAGUAUUCGAAGAGGAAGGGACGGCUAACUUCGUGCCAGCAGCCGCGGUAAUACGAAGGUCCCAAGCGUUGUUCGGAAUCACUGGGCGUAAAGGGAGCGUAGGCGGCGAGGUAAGUCAGAUGUGAAAUGCCGGGGCUCAACCUCGGAACUGCAUCCGAUACUGCCUUGCUAGAGUAGUGGAGGGGCAUCUGGAAUUCACGGUGUAGCAGUGAAAUGCGUAGAUAUCGUGAGGAACACUAGUGGCGAAGGCGAGAUGCUGGACACUUACUGACGCUGAGGCUCGAAGGCCAGGGUAGCGAAAGGGAUUAGAUACCCCUGUAGUCCUGGCAGUAAACGGUGCACGUUUGGUGUGAGCAGGUUCGACCCUGUUCGUGCCGGAGUUAACGCGUUAAACGUGCCGCCUGGGGAGUACGGCCGCAAGGCUAAAACUCAAAGAAAUUGACGGGGACCCGCACAAGCGGUGGAGUAUGUGGCUUAAUUCGAUGCAACGCGAGAACCUUACCUGGGGCUUGACAUGCAUCUCUAAACCGGUGAAAGCCCGGGAGCGGAGCAUCCGCAAUUUGCACAGGUGCUGCAUGGCUGUCGUCAGCUCGUGUCGUGAGAUGUUUGGGUUAAGUCCCGCAACGAGGCGCAAC
RNAcentral lists this ribosomal RNA (1094 nucleotides) under uncultured bacterium. RNAcentral describes it as "bacterial SSU rRNA". It matches the Rfam family "Bacterial small subunit ribosomal RNA", at positions 28 to 1102 of the family's 1533-position model. The record is from RNAcentral.